RNAcentral lists this ribosomal RNA (253 nucleotides) under uncultured bacterium. Its description in RNAcentral is "partial 16S ribosomal RNA". It matches the Rfam family "Bacterial small subunit ribosomal RNA", at positions 524 to 776 of the family's 1533-position model. The record is from RNAcentral.
UACGAAGGGUGCAAGCGUUAAUCGGAAUUACUGGGCGUAAAGGGUGCGUAGGCGGUCGGGUAAGUCUGAUGUGAAAUCUCACAGCUUAACUGUGAAACUGCAUUGGAUACUAUCCGGCUCGAGGAAUGGAGGGGAGACUGGAAUACUUGGUGUAGCAGUGAAAUGCGUAGAUAUCAGGAGGAACACCGGUGGUGUAGACGGCUCUCUGGACCGUAACUGACGCUGAGGCACGAAAGCGUGGGUAGCAAACAGG